UACGUAGGGACCAAGCGUUGUUCGGAUUUACUGGGCGUAAAGGGCGCGUAGGCGGCGUGGUAAGUCACUUGUGAAAUCUCUGAGCUUAACUCAGAACGGCCAAGUGAUACUGCUGUGCUAGAGUGCAGAAGGGGCAAUCGGAAUUCUUGGUGUAGCGGUGAAAUGCGUAGAUAUCAAGAGGAACACCUGAGGUGAAGACGGGUUGCUGGGCUGACACUGACGCUGAUGCGCGAAAGCUAGGGGAGCAAACGGG
RNAcentral lists this ribosomal RNA (253 nucleotides) under uncultured bacterium. RNAcentral describes it as "partial 16S ribosomal RNA". It matches the Rfam family "Bacterial small subunit ribosomal RNA", at positions 524 to 776 of the family's 1533-position model. The record is from RNAcentral.